This 253-nucleotide ribosomal RNA is filed under the name uncultured bacterium. RNAcentral describes it as "partial 16S ribosomal RNA". It matches the Rfam family "Bacterial small subunit ribosomal RNA", at positions 524 to 776 of the family's 1533-position model. The record is from RNAcentral.
UACGUAGGGUGCAAGCGUUAAUCGGAAUUACUGGGCGUAAAGCGUGCGCAGGCGGUUUUGUAAGUCAGAUGUGAAAUCCCCGGGCUUAACCUGGGAACUGCGUUUGAAACUACAAGGCUAGAGUGUGGCAGAGGGGGGUGGAAUUCCACGUGUAGCAGUGAAAUGCGUAGAGAUCGGAAGGAACACCAGUAGCGAAGGCGGCUACCUGGACAGAUACUGACGCUGAGGCGCGAGAGCGUGGGGAGCAAACAGG